UUUAUUUUUUUUACACACUGUUGCGAAAGCCGAGCAACCACGAAGGUUCCAUGGGUGGUGCCGUGCCAAGAGGAGGAGAUAUCCAGAGAGAUCAAAAAACUGUUUUAUAUACAAAUUUACAUGUGGUAUUUUACAAGAAGGGCUUCACGAUAUUGGAGCAGUCUACAUGCUAACAUCUUUGCACGUAGUAGCCGUUUACAUCUCCAAGCAUUCAACAUAGAGCGUCUUCACAACACUCA
This is a long non-coding RNA of Dermacentor silvarum, 239 nucleotides long. RefSeq lists it as uncharacterized. NCBI's taxonomy places the organism in Eukaryota, Metazoa, Arthropoda, Arachnida, Ixodida, Ixodidae. The record is from RefSeq and is a predicted model, not a curated record. The transcript is spliced from 3 exons.